UGAACUCUUCCGGAACAACACCAUCACUCUUGACCUAGGCGGCUGCCUAGUGCGGGACUCCACCUCGGUGUUCACGUCAGCUGUGGUGACAGUUUCCAAGCGGUCACUCUCCUGGCCUGGGACGGUGGCAAGGGGUUGGCAGAGAUUCUGCCGCACGAGCUUGUCUGUUCUCCGUGGGACAGGUUUUAUCUAUUAUUCACCAAACCAAAUGGUGACUGAGCACCUCGGAGGGGCCCUUUGGCCGGAGACAGAGCAAUGAAGCAAACAGAUGUAAAUCCUUGAGACCUGCAUGUCAUCAAGGGAAGGGAAAAUGAACGAAAGCAGACCAGAAACAAACAGAUAAGGAAGCCUUCACAGUCUGUUACCAGUCGAAUGGCAUGUUUCAAAUUUGACCAGCUUCAUUCUCAAGUGUUGGAAGGCCACAGGUGGCUACGGCCUUGGACAGCACAGGCAUAGAGGCAUCUUGUUGAUACUCCAGAGACUUCAAAUUGUUCGAAGAGAGAAUGCUUUUCAUGCAGACGCCCACUGCCAACUAAACAAACAAAGAAAGGUAUAUAUUGGAUUGUGUAAAACCACACUCAUCUCUGUGUGAUCCUCACUUUUUUUAAAUUUAAUUUUUCAGGGCUUCCCUGGUGGCUCAGUGAUAAAGAAUCCACCUGCCAAUGCAGGAGACACAGGUUCAACCCCUGGUCUGGGAAGAUCCCACUUACUGCGGAGCAACUAAGCCCUUUGCCACAACUUCUGAGCCUGUGCUCUGGAGCCCGGGAGCCGCGACUCCUGGGCCCAUGAGCCCCAGCUAAUGGAGCCUGCAUGCCGUAGGCCUGUGCUCCUCAAUGAGAGGCCCCACCGCAGUGAGAAGCCUAUACAAUGCAACUCAAGAGGAGCCCCUGCUCGCCACAAAUAGAGAAGACCCCGAGCAGCAAGGAAGACCCAG
Bos taurus (domestic cattle) is the source of this 934-nucleotide long non-coding RNA. NCBI's taxonomy places the organism in Eukaryota, Metazoa, Chordata, Mammalia, Artiodactyla, Bovidae. The record is from Ensembl.